CUACAGUGACACAUCAUCAUGGGAGACUGGACUGCUCACCUCACGGUUAGGAAGGAAAAAGAGGAAGAGGAAGGGCGUGGGGCCCCACAUCUUCAAGUUUCCCCCACCUCCCAAGAGCAUCAGGCCACCUUGGAAUUUCUUCAGCAUAGAAGCCCUGAACAAACAAGCCACAGCCAGGUUUCUGACGUCAUCACUGCCUGCCGCUCUGGUUACCAAGAUGGCCCAGGACUCUGACUCACAUUGCCUAUGUCAGUGAGGCGUCUCACUCCCUAACUAUAAAUAUUUGUGUAGCUAUGCAGGGAAAGAGAGAAAAGGGGAAUUUGUCAGUAUUUAGUCUUUGCUUUGGGUAAGAAAUAAGGAUUUGGGGAUAUAAAUUAUUUCUAAAAUGUGAAGUUCUACAUAUUUUCUUGUGUUCUCUUUUUUAUCUACAUAAAGUAGUAAGGUUUAAAAAAUCUUUGGGAGUAUGUGGAAAAGUGUUCAAAACAAACAUCUGAAUUAGGAAAAGGACUGUGAACACAGCUGGUAUAUACAGAUCACAUAUAAUAAGAUAGGGGAAUGAAAGUCAUAAUUCAGCCACCAAGAUAGAAUAGAAAUCAGAUACUGUACAAAAGUGAGAUAAGUCACCUUUUGGGACUUGCAAAAAGGAGUUAAACAAAAGCCAAGUGUUAAUCCUUAAGUUCAUCAUCAACACUGAGAGUCUAGUCAUAUUGGCAGUGGUACUUAACAGAGUUAAUUGUAAAUCUAAUUUGUAAAUUCUUAAUUUCCACCCAUGGAGUUGGGUGUUUCCCCCAUUGAAUAAGAUCUCCAGUUAAUACACUGGAGAGUUUAAUGCCUUCCUUGCUAUUAGGAAGACAAAAUAGAUUGGUGUCUGACUGCUUUCCAGAAAAUCAACGAUUUCAGCUGGUUCUCCAGUGUCACCAGUGAAGGAAAUGCUACUGCACCGAGGUCAACGUCAUUCUGGGGGACUGGUGGCUCAAAGAUGCACGAGCAGUGUGUCUGUGGGGGGAAUGUGACAGAGGGCGGGUCUCACUUUUCCCCAGAGGAUUGCUUUGGGUAGAUGGGAAAUGAACAGUGAGAGGUUCCUGCAGAAAGUCUUUAUGCAUAAUCAAAAUAAAACCUGUACUUCCAGGCGCACAGAGAACCAGAUAAAUAUAUCCUUGUUUAUUUUUUAGAAAAUAGAGUGAAAUGUUUCAAGUGACUCAAGGCGAGAUCUCAAAAGACUUUAUAUUCUGUCUGACCAUUUCUGCCACAAUCACCUGUUCUAGGAUAAUACAGUCAGCUCCAAAUAUCUGCCAAAUUCAGAGGGUGGAGCCAUUUUUACAGUGACACUGCCCAGGGAUCAGAAUCUUAAACCUGAGGUUCUGAGACAAGCUCAUGGAACAACAAUUCUUUUGAGUACCAGAAUAAAUCAUACUGAGCUGAAGAUGCAGUGGACGGAAAUGAAAAUUUGAACAGUAUACAAUUAAAAAAAAACGCUUCAAGAACUGCAAACAUGGAAGAAAGGAUACUUUAAUAGACUUAAGAAAAGAUAUUUCCUUACCAAAUAGUUCAGUAAAAGGAGAAGAUACCCAUUUCUAAGAUUGGACUAAAGGCAAAGAAGAAUAAUAACCAGACAUACUUUAAAUGCAAAGUGAUUAUGACAAGAAAAUAUUUUUUCUUAAUAAAUAUCCAAGAGUUUUAGUAAGCAAACGAACCAUAAUUUUAAAGGGAAUUUUAGAAAAAAUGUUCAAAGGGAACAGGAAGAGGGACAUUAAUUAUGGUAGCAAACAUCCCAGAACUAAUGGGACUUAUCUUCAUAUUAGGAGUCAAUGAGCUCCUAGUAACAUUGCUUAAUAAUACAUUCCUGUAGUCCAAAGCUAAUGAGAAAAAUCUUAUCAGCUUAUAGACAGAAAAAAUAAAUUUCCUACAAAGGAAAGAGAAUCAGACUUCUCAUCUGUCACACUAGAAGGAUCAAUGAACUAAGAUCCCCGCACAUUGCCAGAGGAAAAUCUCUCCCAUCGGAGGUCCAAUAUCAGCCAAUUGUUAUUCUCCUGCAAAGGUGAAUGAUAUUAAA
Molecule: long non-coding RNA, 2053 nt
Organism: Cavia porcellus (domestic guinea pig)
Lineage: Eukaryota; Metazoa; Chordata; Mammalia; Rodentia; Caviidae
Exons: 3
Source: RefSeq, a predicted model, not a curated record